GCUAGUGUUGCAAAGGCCAUAAAUGAGGCCUACCCAAACCCUACUACCCUAAAACAUGUGACUCCAGCAUUCCUCAGGGACAUUCUCCACAGGACCGGCGUGGAUAACAUCACCAAAGACGACAAACUCAGUCUUUUGGAGUACAUUUUGGGUGAUGAACAAUACAAAGAACUUGAGGGUCUUCACCUCCUUCCACUCAGUGAUGGCUCUUUCAGAUCUUUCACAUACAAAGAGGAAGACACUGCUUUGAUUGACAGCCAUGAAUUUCCAAGAGUCUUGCUGCCAUUCUGUAAACCCUUGUUCAUCCCACAUGAUCUGACUCCAGCCUGCAGUGCCCAUCUGAAAGAACUGGCCAGAAGAAAUUUCUUCAAGGUCAUCAACAUUGAUGCAUCCCAUUUGGCUGAAUAUGCAAGACGAUAUUUGCCACCAGACUGGAAGCAGACAGGGAAGAACCUUGUUACAUGG
Molecule: long non-coding RNA, 465 nt
Organism: Oreochromis niloticus (Nile tilapia)
Lineage: Eukaryota; Metazoa; Chordata; Actinopteri; Cichliformes; Cichlidae
Exons: 3
Source: RefSeq, a predicted model, not a curated record